CCUACGGGCGGCUGCAGUAAGGAAUAUUGGUCAAUGGAGGAAACUCUGAACCAGCCAUCCCGCGUGAAGGAUGAAGGGGCUCUGCCUUGUAAACUUCUUUUGUCUGGGGCGAAAAAGCUCGAUUUAUCGAGAACUGACGGUACCAGAAGAAUAAGCACCGGCUAACUCCGUGCCAGCAGCCGCGGUAAUACGGAGGGUGCAGGCGUUAUCCGGAAUAAAGGGGUUGAAAGGGGCUGUGGGAGGCAUGGGUGAAAGGCUGUGGCUUAACCAUGGAAUUGCCAUUGAUACUGCAGAGCUUGAGUGAGGUUGAGGUUGGCGGAAUGUGACAUGUAGCGGUGAAAUGCUUAGAGAUGUCAUGGAACACCGAUUGCGAAGGCAGCUGACUGGACCUAUAUUGACGCUGAGGCACGAAAGCGUGGGGAGCGAACAGGAUUAGAUACCCCUGUAGUC
RNAcentral lists this ribosomal RNA (450 nucleotides) under uncultured bacterium. RNAcentral describes it as "partial 16S ribosomal RNA". It matches the Rfam family "Bacterial small subunit ribosomal RNA", at positions 338 to 795 of the family's 1533-position model. The record is from RNAcentral.